UUGUAGUCUGCAACUCGACUACAUGAAGCUGGAAUCGCUAGUAAUCGCGGAUCAGAAUGCCGCGGUGAAUACGUUCCCGGGUCUUGUACACACCGCCCGUCACACCAUGGGAGUCGAUAACGCCCGAAGUCAGUGACCCAACCUGUAAGGAGGGAGCUGCCGAAGGCGGGAUUGAUAACUGGGGUGAAGUCGUAACAAGGUAUC
This 204-nucleotide ribosomal RNA is filed under the name uncultured bacterium. RNAcentral describes it as "partial 16S ribosomal RNA". It matches the Rfam family "Bacterial small subunit ribosomal RNA", at positions 1298 to 1500 of the family's 1533-position model. The record is from RNAcentral.